This 468-nucleotide ribosomal RNA is filed under the name uncultured bacterium. Its description in RNAcentral is "bacterial SSU rRNA". It matches the Rfam family "Bacterial small subunit ribosomal RNA", at positions 355 to 825 of the family's 1533-position model. The record is from RNAcentral.
UGGGGAAUUUUGGACAAUGGGGGCAACCCUGAUCCAGCAACGCCGCGUGAAGGAUGAAGGUCUUCGGAUUGUAAACUUCUUUUGUCUGGGAAUAAGAAAUCUGUAGAAAUACGGAGAGUGAAUGUACCAGAUGAAUAAGCCACGGCUAACUUCGUGCCAGCAGCCGCGGUAAUACGAAGGUGGCAAGCGUUACUCGGAAUUACUAGGCGUAAAGGGCAGGUAGGUGGUUCGAUAAGUCUGUUGUGGAAGCUCCCGGCUUAACUGGGAGAGGUCAACAGAUACUAUCGAGCUUGAGUGUGGGAGAGGAUAUUGGAAUUCCCGGUGUAGCGGUGAAAUGCGCAGAGUUCGGGAGGAACACCAAUGGCGAAAGCAGAUAUCUGGACCACUACUGACACUAAGCUGCGAAAGCUAGGGGAGCAAACAGGAUUAGAUACCCAAGUAGUCCCUGAGCGGGCUGGCAAGGCGCAU